This 718-nucleotide ribosomal RNA is filed under the name Streptomycetaceae bacterium. RNAcentral describes it as "bacterial SSU rRNA". It matches the Rfam family "Bacterial small subunit ribosomal RNA", at positions 95 to 827 of the family's 1533-position model. The record is from RNAcentral. Lineage: Bacteria; Bacillati; Actinomycetota; Actinomycetes; Kitasatosporales; Streptomycetaceae.
GUGGCGAACGGGUGAGUAACACGUGGGCAAUCUGCCCUUCACUCUGGGACAAGCCCUGGAAACGGGGUCUAAUACCGGAUAACACUCCUGCCUGCAUGGGCGGGGGUUAAAAGCUCCGGCGGUGAAGGAUGAGCCCGCGGCCUAUCAGCUUGUUGGUGGGGUAAUGGCCUACCAAGGCGACGACGGGUAGCCGGCCUGAGAGGGCGACCGGCCACACUGGGACUGAGACACGGCCCAGACUCCUACGGGAGGCAGCAGUGGGGAAUAUUGCACAAUGGGCGAAAGCCUGAUGCAGCGACGCCGCGUGAGGGAUGACGGCCUUCGGGUUGUAAACCUCUUUCAGCAGGGAAGAAGCGAAAGUGACGGUACCUGCAGAAGAAGCGCCGGCUAACUACGUGCCAGCAGCCGCGGUAAUACGUAGGGCGCAAGCGUUGUCCGGAAUUAUUGGGCGUAAAGAGCUCGUAGGCGGCUUGUCACGUCGGAUGUGAAAGCCCGAGGCUUAACCUCGGGUCUGCAUUCGAUACGGGCUAGCUAGAGUGUGGUAGGGGAGAUCGGAAUUCCUGGUGUAGCGGUGAAAUGCGCAGAUAUCAGGAGGAACACCGGUGGCGAAGGCGGAUCUCUGGGCCAUUACUGACGCUGAGGAGCGAAAGCGUGGGGAGCGAACAGGAUUAGAUACCCUGGUAGUCCACGCCGUAAACGUUGGGAACUAGGUGUUGGC